This is a non-coding RNA of Caenorhabditis elegans, 21 nucleotides long. The record is from Ensembl. Lineage: Eukaryota; Metazoa; Nematoda; Chromadorea; Rhabditida; Rhabditidae.
UGACUAACCACGAUUCCUCAA